RNAcentral lists this ribosomal RNA (446 nucleotides) under uncultured bacterium. Its description in RNAcentral is "partial 16S ribosomal RNA". It matches the Rfam family "Bacterial small subunit ribosomal RNA", at positions 338 to 795 of the family's 1533-position model. The record is from RNAcentral.
CCUACGGGUGGCAGCAGUCGAGAAUCUUUCACAAUGGGGGAAACCCUGAUGGUGCGACGCCGCGUGGGGGAAUGAAGGUCUUCGUAUUGUAAACCCCUGUCAUGUGGGAGCAAAUUAAAAAGCUAGUACCACAAGCGGAAGCGACGGCUAACUCUGCGCCAGCAGCCGCGGUAAUAGAGCGGGCUCAAGCGUUGUUCGGAAUCACUGGGCGUAAAGCGUGCGUAGGCUGUUUCGUAAGUCGUGUGUGAAAGGCGCGGGCUCAACCCGCGGACGGCACAUGAUACUGCGAGACUAGAGUGAUGGAGGGGGAAGCGGAAUUCUCGGUGUAGCAGUGAAAUGCGUAGAUAUCGAGAGGAACACUCGUGGCGAAGGCGGGUUCCUGGACAUUAACUGACGCUGAGGCACGAAGGCCAGGGGAGCGAAAGGGAUUAGAUACCCCAGUAGUC